This is a non-coding RNA of Chiloscyllium plagiosum (whitespotted bambooshark), 555 nucleotides long. The record is from the annotation of a RefSeq genome assembly. NCBI's taxonomy places the organism in Eukaryota, Metazoa, Chordata, Chondrichthyes, Orectolobiformes, Hemiscylliidae.
UGUGAGGGGCUGACGUGGCUCUCUCUGCCUGAUGCCAUUUACAUACUGAGGAACACCCAGUCAGACUCUCACAGGCUGCAGCUUUAUAAAGCAGAGCCCAGUGAAGGGAGAGUUUAUCAGGAACCCGGCACAGGGACAGGAGCACACACCAUGAUUUCACACCUCCAGCUGAUCUGGCCCCUGGCAUUCUGUGUCGCAGGUAUCAGUGGGGACAUCAUCAUGACGCAGUCUCCCCCGGUGCUGUCAGUGGGACUGGGCCAGACUGCAACCAUCACCUGUAAAUCCAGUCAGAGUGCCAGUGGUGAUGUUGAAUGGUACCAGCAGCGAGAAGGUCAGAAACCCUCUCUCCUGAUCUACGAUGCAGCAACACGAUACACAGGAGUCUCCAGCAGAUUCACCGGGAGAGAAGUGUCCAGCACACACUUCACCCUGACAAUCAGCAACGUUCAGAACGAGGAUGUCGCUGAUUAUUACUGUAUGCAGAGUGAGAGCUGGCCGCUUACGUUUGGUAAAGGAACCAAGCUCAGACUGAGUAAGUAAACCUCAUUCCUCCGU